Mauremys mutica (yellowpond turtle) is the source of this 1026-nucleotide long non-coding RNA. RefSeq lists it as uncharacterized. The transcript is spliced from 3 exons. Lineage: Eukaryota; Metazoa; Chordata; Testudines; Geoemydidae. The record is from RefSeq and is a predicted model, not a curated record.
UCUACAGCUGUUCUUUGGGAUUAGCAAGUGGAAGGAUCAGGAAGGUCAAGGAGGAAUCCUCUACUAAGUAGUAAAGUCUGUCAAGAAGCCAGAAGUUAGCCAUUGAGGUGGAGGAAGCUCUGGUGGUGAACUCUGAUAAUAGAGCAGGUUCUAGAAUUCUGGGGGAGAGUCCUGGGAGAUGUCAAGUGAGGAACAGAGGGAUGAAAGGUCAAGCUUAAGGAGGGCAGAUGCCACCACCAGCACCUGCAUGUUAAACACUGCAACUGAAAUGAGUCCAAAGUAUUACAGACCACAGAAGAUUAAACUAUUGUCACAGGCUUCUACAAUGGCAGCUUGGAAAUCACACCUAGCAGUUCUUCAUUGUUGAGUGCAACUGCCCAGUUGACCAUGCCAGCUACAUGCUCCAGACGCAUUCCUGCCUGAGAUACACAAAAGAUAUUGGAUCCCCUGGGUCUGUUGGGAGAGGAGCCUGUGCAGGCACAGCACCAAACCAGCCAUAGCAACAUUGGCAUCUAUAAGCAGAUUGCUCAGGGGAUGCAGGGGAAAGAGCUAUGACAGGAACCAGCAGCAAUGCCGUGUGAAAGCCAAGGAGCAUACCAGAAGGCCAGGAAGGCCAAAAAUCGAUCUGGGGCCAAGCUGCAGAUCUGCUGCUUUCACAAGAAGCUGCCACCCUAGACACUUCCAAGGAGCCUGAGCAAAGGGCCUGGAAGAUGAACAUGCAGACAGGAUGAACAUUGCAGACAGCCUAGAGAAGGAAAGAGUGGAGAGUAGAAAGGCCCUUGAGACCCAGCAAGAAAGGGAGAAGGUGAUGCACCAGGACAUACCCUCCUCCUCACCUCCCUGCCGCAGCUCAUUGAGAACUCAAUAUUGGGACCUCCCUGUGCCCCCUAAAAUGUUCUUAUUUGACAUCAGGGGUUGCUGUACUACCUCUACCACUCCACCCGGGGGGACAUUAAAGAAUAUUACAGCUUCAUAUACACGGACAUAUGGAAGCCACAGUUGGUGUAUGUGUAUCUGAAAUAGACA